AUAUACCCCCACUGGAAAAUAAAACAAAAAUUAAGUUUUACUAGUUAUUUACUUAAAUAAGGGUCUAUGAAAUUACCCUAAUAUAAAUCCAAAUUUUCACCCAAUUGAACCGUCUCCAACAGUCGGGGAGUUAAUCAAGAGACUUGCAAAAGUCGAUUCUUCGUCUCAAAGUCGAACGUGAAAUAAACUGAAAUUCGAAUUUUGCAGAAAUGUUUUAAUAUUGAACAGUGCAGAAGAGGUUAUAUAUCUGCUAGUCUGUUGUGGCAGUUAAUUGAAGAGACCUUAACGCCACUUCUUUUCAGAUUCAGUAGUUUUAAGUAUUGAUCAAGCAAUGAAGACCACUUAGUAGUAUGGAAAAAUGAAGUAUACGUUUCAAGCUUUGGUAAGAAACUUUUCAAUAUUAAUGUAUUGAUGAUGAUUCUUGGAAGUUAGAAAUAGGAUACUUGUACUAUGAUAUGAUUUAUAUGCAAGUAUGAGUAUUUAUGUCUGCUGCAAGUCAGCCUCCUUCAUUGUUUUUGCUUCAUGAAUAUGCAUAUUUAUUAAUUUUGUUUCUUUUACUU
Salvia miltiorrhiza (redroot sage) is the source of this 560-nucleotide long non-coding RNA. RefSeq lists it as uncharacterized. The transcript is spliced from 2 exons. The record is from RefSeq and is a predicted model, not a curated record. NCBI's taxonomy places the organism in Eukaryota, Viridiplantae, Streptophyta, Magnoliopsida, Lamiales, Lamiaceae.